RNAcentral lists this ribosomal RNA (1456 nucleotides) under Streptococcus salivarius. Its description in RNAcentral is "bacterial SSU rRNA". It matches the Rfam family "Bacterial small subunit ribosomal RNA". Lineage: Bacteria; Bacillati; Bacillota; Bacilli; Lactobacillales; Streptococcaceae. The record is from RNAcentral.
CGGGGGGGGGUGCCUUAUACAUGCAGUAGAACGCUGAAGAGAGGAGCUUGCUCUUCUUGGAUGAGUUGCGAACGGGUGAGUAACGCGUAGGUAACCUGCCUUGUAGCGGGGGAUAACUAUUGGAAACGAUAGCUAAUACCGCAUAACAAUGGAUGACACAUGUCAUUUAUUUGAAAGGGGCAAUUGCUCCACUACAAGAUGGACCUGCGUUGUAUUAGCUAGUAGGUGAGGUAACGGCUCACCUAGGCGACGAUACAUAGCCGACCUGAGAGGGUGAUCGGCCACACUGGGACUGAGACACGGCCCAGACUCCUACGGGAGGCAGCAGUAGGGAAUCUUCGGCAAUGGGGGCAACCCUGACCGAGCAACGCCGCGUGAGUGAAGAAGGUUUUCGGAUCGUAAAGCUCUGUUGUAAGUCAAGAACGAGUGUGAGAGUGGAAAGUUCACACUGUGACGGUAGCUUACCAGAAAGGGACGGCUAACUACGUGCCAGCAGCCGCGGUAAUACGUAGGUCCCGAGCGUUGUCCGGAUUUAUUGGGCGUAAAGCGAGCGCAGGCGGUUUGAUAAGUCUGAAGUUAAAGGCUGUGGCUCAACCAUAGUUCGCUUUGGAAACUGUCAAACUUGAGUGCAGAAGGGGAGAGUGGAAUUCCAUGUGUAGCGGUGAAAUGCGUAGAUAUAUGGAGGAACACCGGUGGCGAAAGCGGCUCUCUGGUCUGUAACUGACGCUGAGGCUCGAAAGCGUGGGGAGCGAACAGGAUUAGAUACCCUGGUAGUCCACGCCGUAAACGAUGAGUGCUAGGUGUUGGAUCCUUUCCGGGAUUCAGUGCCGCAGCUAACGCAUUAAGCACUCCGCCUGGGGAGUACGACCGCAAGGUUGAAACUCAAAGGAAUUGACGGGGGCCCGCACAAGCGGUGGAGCAUGUGGUUUAAUUCGAAGCAACGCGAAGAACCUUACCAGGUCUUGACAUCCCGAUGCUAUUUCUAGAGAUAGAAAGUUACUUCGGUACAUCGGUGACAGGUGGUGCAUGGUUGUCGUCAGCUCGUGUCGUGAGAUGUUGGGUUAAGUCCCGCAACGAGCGCAACCCCUAUUGUUAGUUGCCAUCAUUCAGUUGGGCACUCUAGCGAGACUGCCGGUAAUAAACCGGAGGAAGGUGGGGAUGACGUCAAAUCAUCAUGCCCCUUAUGACCUGGGCUACACACGUGCUACAAUGGUUGGUACAACGAGUUGCGAGUCGGUGACGGCAAGCUAAUCUCUUAAAGCCAAUCUCAGUUCGGAUUGUAGGCUGCAACUCGCCUACAUGAAGUCGGAAUCGCUAGUAAUCGCGGAUCAGCACGCCGCGGUGAAUACGUUCCCGGGCCUUGUACACACCGCCCGUCACACCACGAGAGUUUGUAACACCCGAAGUCGGUGAGGUAACCUUUGGAGCCAGCCGCCUAAAAGGUGAAAAAAAAAGA